Molecule: transfer RNA, 74 nt
Filed under: Nitrososphaerota archaeon
Lineage: Archaea; Thermoproteati; Nitrososphaerota
Description: tRNA-Ala
Rfam family: tRNA
About the family: Transfer RNA (tRNA) molecules are approximately 80 nucleotides in length. Their secondary structure includes four short double-helical elements and three loops (D, anti-codon, and T loops).
Source: RNAcentral
GGGCCGGUAGUUUAGGCUGGUAAAAUGCUCGCUUCGCAAGCGAGAGUCCGCGGGUUCAAGUCCCGCCCGGUCCA